CCUACGGGGGGCAGCAGUGGGGGAUAUUGCACAAUGGGGGAAACCCUGAUGCAGCGACGCCGCGUGGGUGAAGAAGUAUUUCGGUAUGUAAAGCCCUAUCAGCAGGGAAGAAAGAAGACGGUACCUGACUAAGAAGCCUCGGCUAACUACGUGCCAGCAGCCGCGGUAAUACGUAGGGGGCGAGCGUUAUCCGGAUUCACUGGGUGUAAAGGGAGCGUAGACGGCCGUGCAAGCCAGGAGUGAAAGCCCGGGGCCCAACCCCGGGACUGCUCUUGGAACUGUGCGGCUGGAGUGCGGGAGGGGCAGGCGGAAUUCCUGGUGUAGCGGUGAAAUGCGUAGAUAUCAGGAGGAACACCGGCGGCGAAGGCGGCCUGCUGGACCGCGACUGACGUUGAGGCUCGAAAGCGUGGGGAGCGAACAGGAUUAGAUACCCGUGUAGUC
This 441-nucleotide ribosomal RNA is filed under the name uncultured bacterium. RNAcentral's name for it is "partial 16S ribosomal RNA". It matches the Rfam family "Bacterial small subunit ribosomal RNA", at positions 338 to 795 of the family's 1533-position model. The record is from RNAcentral.